AAACGUAGGGGGCAAGCGUUGUCCGGAAUUACUGGGCGUAAAGAGCGUGUAGGCGGCUGAUUAAGUUAGAUGUGAAACCUGGAGGCUCAACCACCAGCUUGCAUCUAAAACUGGUCAGCUUGAGGACAGGAGAGGAGAGCGGAAUUCUCAGUGUAGCGGUGAAAUGCGUAGAUAUUGAGAGGAACACCAGUGGCGAAGGCGGCUCUCUGGCCUGUAACUGACGCUGAGGCGCGAAAGCGUGGGGAGCGAACAGGAUUAGAUACCCUGGUAGUCCACGCCGUAAACGAUGGGCACUAGGUGUAGGAGGUAUCGACCCCUUCUGUGCCGCAGCAAACGCAAUAAGUGCCCCGCCUGGGGAGUACGGCCGCAAGGCUGAA
Molecule: ribosomal RNA, 377 nt
Filed under: uncultured bacterium
Lineage: Bacteria
Description: bacterial SSU rRNA
Rfam family: Bacterial small subunit ribosomal RNA
Source: RNAcentral